AGUGAACGCUGGCGGUAGGCCUAACACAUGCAAGUCGAACGGCAGCACAGUAAGAGCUUGCUCUUACGGGUGGCGAGUGGCGGACGGGUGAGGAAUACAUCGGAAUCUACUUUUUCGUGGGGGAUAACGAAGGGAAACUUACGCUAAUACCGCAUACGACCUACGGGUGAAAGCAGGGGAUCUUCGGACCUUGCGCGAUUGAAUGAGCCGAUGUCGGAUUAGCUAGUUGGCGGGGUAAAGGCCCACCAAGGCGAGGAUCGGUAGCUGGUCUGAGAGGAUGAUCGGCCACAUUGGAACUUGGACACGGUCCAGACGCCUACGGGAGGCAGCAGUGGGGAAUAUUGGACAGUGGGCGCAAGCCUGAUCCAGCCAUACCGCGUGGGUGAAGAAGGCCUUCGGGUUGUAAAGCCCUUUUGUUGGGAAAGAAAAGCAGCAGGUUAAUACCCCGCUGUUCUGACGGUACCCAAAGAAUAAGCACCGGCUAACUUCGUG
This 492-nucleotide ribosomal RNA is filed under the name uncultured bacterium. Its description in RNAcentral is "partial 16S ribosomal RNA". It matches the Rfam family "Bacterial small subunit ribosomal RNA", at positions 29 to 507 of the family's 1533-position model. The record is from RNAcentral.